GACGAACGCUGGCGGCGUGCUUAACACAUGCAAGUCGAGCGGAAAGGCCCUUCGGGGUACUCGAGCGGCGAACGGGUGAGUAACACGUGAGUAAUCUGCCCUUGGCUUUGGGAUAACUACCGGAAACGGUGGCUAAUACCGGAUACGACAACCGACUGCAUGGGCCGGUUGUGGAAAGUUUUUUCGGCCAGGGGUGUGCUCGCGGCCUAUCAGCUUGUUGGUGGGGUAAUGGCCUACCAAGGCUUCGACGGGUAGCCGGCCUGAGAGGGUGACCGGCCACAACGGGGCCCGGACCCCGACCGGAGGCCUCAGGGGGGGAGCGGGUGGGAAGAGUGGACAAUUGGCGGAAACCCGGACCGAGAACGCCGGAGGAGGGAGGGCCGGCUUCCGGUUUUGAAACUGUUUCAGGACCGGGGAAAAGCCAAUUAAUGUGGUGACGGUAGGUACAGAAGAAGCACCGGCCAACUACGUG
This 472-nucleotide ribosomal RNA is filed under the name uncultured bacterium. Its description in RNAcentral is "partial 16S ribosomal RNA". It matches the Rfam family "Bacterial small subunit ribosomal RNA", at positions 28 to 507 of the family's 1533-position model. The record is from RNAcentral.